Molecule: ribosomal RNA, 244 nt
Filed under: uncultured bacterium
Lineage: Bacteria
Description: partial 16S ribosomal RNA
Rfam family: Bacterial small subunit ribosomal RNA
Source: RNAcentral
GCAAGUCGAGCGGUAACAGAGAGUGCUUGCACUCUGCUGACGAGCGGCGGACGGGUGAGUAACGCGUAGGAAUCUACCUUGUAGUUGGGGAUAGCCAGGAGAAAUCCUGAUUAAUACCGAAUACGGUCUACGGACGAAAGGGGGCUUCGGCUCUCGCUGCAAGAGGAGCCUGCGUUGGAUUAGCUUGUUGGUGAGGUAAAAGCUCACCAAGCCUACGAUCUAUAGCUGGUCUGAGAGGACGACC